CCUCUUCUAUUGGCGACUACGGAUGGCUCCAUGCUCGCGAUGCGAAAUACGCAACCAGGAUUAUGGAGGACAGUAAAGAACAUCGUCAGACUCGAAGGAGCAAGAAGAAUAGUAUGUAUAAAGUACUUCACAAUCAAGACAUAAAACACGAGUGCUCGCGGUCAGGGGGACUGCACGCUUAUCCUGAUCAUUUCAGGGAACCUAAAAAGCUUUACCUCUAAACCAGCCGUCUGCUAAAUGAUCAUUUAAAGGUUCCUGUCCUCUGGUAGGACUUUGUAUAUAGUGUAAAUAUCGCUUUUCUAACAAAGGAUCUCGCUCAAAUAAAAGAAAAAAAAAAAAAAAAACGAGCAAGCUCGAAGAAUCGAAACAAGUCACGCGG
RNAcentral lists this small RNA (379 nucleotides) under Apis mellifera (honey bee). RNAcentral describes it as "circAmup2". The record is from RNAcentral. Lineage: Eukaryota; Metazoa; Arthropoda; Insecta; Hymenoptera; Apidae.